GAUGAACGCUGGCGGCGUGCCUAACACAUUCAAGUCGAACGGAGUUAAUUUGGAAGCUUGCUUUCGAAUUAACUUAGUGGCGGACGGGUGAGUAAUGCAUGAGCAACCUGCCUUAAAGGAGGGGGGAAUAACACGGUAGAAAACCGUGCUAAUACCGCAUGUUUUAUGUUGAGGGCAUCCUCGAUAUAAUAAAGGAGCAAUCCGCUUUAAGAUGGGCUCAUGUCUGAUUAGAUAGUUGGUGAGGUAACGGCUCACCAAGUCUACGAUCAGUAGCCGGACUGAGAGGUUGAACGGCCACAUUGGAACUGAGAUACGGUCCAGACUCCUACGGGGAGGCAGCAGGUGGGGGAUAUUGGUCAAUGGGGGAAACCCUGAACCAGCGACGCCGCGUGAGGGAAGAAGGUUAUUUGAUUGUAAACCUCUGUCGUCAGGGAAGAAAAUGACGGUACCUGACAAGGAAGCACCGGCUAACUACGUG
This 478-nucleotide ribosomal RNA is filed under the name uncultured bacterium. RNAcentral describes it as "bacterial SSU rRNA". It matches the Rfam family "Bacterial small subunit ribosomal RNA", at positions 28 to 507 of the family's 1533-position model. The record is from RNAcentral.